AAUCUUGCGCAAUGGGCGAAAGCCUGACGCAGCCACGCGGCGUGAAUGAUGAAGGUCUUAUGCUUGUACAAUUCUUUCACCGGGGACGAUAAUGACGGUACCCGGAGAAGAAGCUCCGGCUAAGUUCCUUCCAGCCGCCGCGGUAAUACGAAGGGGGCUAGCGUUGCUCGGAAUUACUGGGCAUAAAGGGCGCGUAGGCGGUCAUUUAAGUCAGGGGUGAAAUCCCAGAGCUCAACUCUGGAACUGCCUUUGAUACUGGGUGUCUUGGGUGUGAGAGAGGUAUGUGGAACUCCGAGUGUAGAGGUGAAAUUCGUAGAUAUUCGGAAGAACACCAGUGGCGAAGGCGACAUACUGGCUCAUUACUGACGCUGAGGCGCGAAAGCGUGGGGAGCAAACAGG
This 399-nucleotide ribosomal RNA is filed under the name uncultured bacterium. RNAcentral describes it as "partial 16S ribosomal RNA". It matches the Rfam family "Bacterial small subunit ribosomal RNA", at positions 360 to 776 of the family's 1533-position model. The record is from RNAcentral.